AGUGAACGCUGGCGGUAGGCCUAACACAUGCAAGUCGAACGGCAGCACAGUAAGAGCUUGCUCUUACGGGUGGCGAGUGGCGGGCGGGUGAGGAAUACAUCGGAAUCUACUUUUUCGUGGGGGAUAACGUAGGGAAACUUACGCUAAUACCGCAUACGACCUACGGGUGAAAGCAGGGGAUCUUCGGACCUUGCGCGAUUGAAUGAGCCGAUGUCGGAUUAGCUAGUUGGCGGGGUAAAGGCCCACCAAGGCUACGAUCCGUAGCUGGUCUGAGAGGAUGAUCAGCCACACUGGAACUGAGACACGGUCCAGACUCCUACGGGAGGCAGCAGUGGGGAAUAUUGGACAAUGGGCGCAAGCCUGAUCCAGCCAUACCGCGUGGGUGAAGAAGGCCUUCGGGUUGUAAAGCCCUUUUGUUGGGAAAGAAAAGCAGCAGGUUAAUACCCCGCUGUUCUGACGGUACCCAAAGAAUAAGCACCGGCUAACUUCGUG
This 492-nucleotide ribosomal RNA is filed under the name uncultured bacterium. Its description in RNAcentral is "partial 16S ribosomal RNA". It matches the Rfam family "Bacterial small subunit ribosomal RNA", at positions 29 to 507 of the family's 1533-position model. The record is from RNAcentral.